UUGGUUAAUUUGAAGUAUGAGGAUUCUUUCCAAACCUUGAAGUACCUUUUGACUUUUUAUUUGAAAAUGCACAUGCAUGUGCAUUCAUGAAGGGCAGAGAAAUGAGGAACGUUCUCACCUGAGUUAGAACCAAAUAGAGUGCAGGCAGCUGCUGUGAGCUUUCUUAUCACAAUUACGGCCUGACAUGAGUUGGAAAAC
RNAcentral lists this long non-coding RNA (198 nucleotides) under Neogale vison (American mink). RNAcentral describes it as "Neovison vison (American mink) DAOA antisense RNA 1 conserved region 1 (ENSNVIG00000018608.1)". It matches the Rfam family "DAOA antisense RNA 1 conserved region 1". The record is from RNAcentral. Lineage: Eukaryota; Metazoa; Chordata; Mammalia; Carnivora; Mustelidae.